GAUGAACGCUGGCGGCGUGCCUAAUCCAUGCAAGUCGAGCGAACAGACGAGGAGCUUGCUCCUCUGACGUUAGCGGCGGACGGGUGAGUAACACGUGGAUAACCUACCUAUAAGACUGGGAUAACUUCGGGAACCCGGAGCUAAUACCGGAUAAUAUAUUGAACCGCAUGGUUCAAUAGUGAAAGACGGUUUUGCUGUCACUUAUAGAUGGAUCCGCGCCGCAUUAGCUAGUUGGUAAGGUAACGGCUUACCAAGGCGACGAUGCGUAGCCGACCUGAGAGGGUGAUCGGCCACACUGGAACUGAGACACGGUCCAGACUCCUACGGGAGGCAGCAGUAGGGAAUCUUCCGCAAUGGGCGAAAGCCUGACGGAGCAACGCCGCGUGAGUGAUGAAGGUCUUCGGAUCGUAAAACUCUGUUAUUAGGGAAGAACAAAUGUGUAAGUAACUAUGCACGUCUUGACGGUACCUAAUCAGAAAGCCACGGCUAACUACGUG
Molecule: ribosomal RNA, 497 nt
Filed under: uncultured bacterium
Lineage: Bacteria
Description: partial 16S ribosomal RNA
Rfam family: Bacterial small subunit ribosomal RNA
Source: RNAcentral